Long non-coding RNA from Rhea pennata, 353 nucleotides. RefSeq lists it as uncharacterized. NCBI's taxonomy places the organism in Eukaryota, Metazoa, Chordata, Aves, Rheiformes, Rheidae. The record is from RefSeq and is a predicted model, not a curated record. The transcript is spliced from 3 exons.
CAAAAUGUGCCGACUGGAACAUGCUGUGCUCCAGCCACUACGGCUAGAGGCAGAAUGGGAGCCAGCAUUAUGUCCUGGCGCUGGUCUUGGUAUGUGGGACCUAGAAGACUUGUCAAGCCUGGGCCUCAUGGCCUAGCUAUGCCAGGAGGCAAAAAAAGGAGACCUGAAAGGCAUCCCUUCUUGGACAAUGACUGCUCUGACAGUCCUAGAGAAACGCCUCCUUAAUACAGACAGUGAGACUCUUCAGAACGACUGUACAGGACAGUUUAAAUGAUACUUUACAUGACGGCUUCACUUUUAAGGAGAAUAAAGUGAUUCUUUCCCUUAAAUUCAGAAAGCACUGACUAUUUCUC